GUCCUCGUAGCUUACAUACAAUCUAAAGCAUGGCACUGAAGAUGCCAAGACGGCAUCAAUAAACAGCCCGAGGACA
This 76-nucleotide transfer RNA is filed under the name Apaloderma vittatum (bar-tailed trogon). RNAcentral describes it as "tRNA-Phe". The record is from RNAcentral. Lineage: Eukaryota; Metazoa; Chordata; Aves; Trogoniformes; Trogonidae.